Molecule: ribosomal RNA, 253 nt
Filed under: uncultured bacterium
Lineage: Bacteria
Description: partial 16S ribosomal RNA
Rfam family: Bacterial small subunit ribosomal RNA
Source: RNAcentral
UACGUAGGGUGCGAGCGUUGCUCGGAAUCACUGGGCGUAAAGGGCGUGUAGGCGGGAAUGUAAGUCGGGCGUGAAAUCCCUAGGCUCAACCUAGGAACUGCACUCGAAACUGCGUUUCUUGAGUAUCGGAGAGGAAAGCGGAAUACCUGGUGUAGAGGUGAAAUUCGUAGAUAUCAGGUGGAACACCAGUGGCGAAGGCGGCUUUCUGGACGAUAACUGACGCUGAGACGCGAAAGCGUGGGGAGCAAACAGG